GUGUAUGGGUGUCAGGGGUGUUUUAGGAGGGUUGUUCUAUUUUGGGUAUCACUCAUGGCGAGGCAGAGCUUCGCUAAUUAGGGGGUAUAAUACCCGAGUAUAAUAAGCCUACUACAGAAAUUGUGAUUGAGAAUUGAGAAAUGAACGAACUGAAUUGAAAUCCGAUGCGUUCCUUAUAUAGUUGCUGAAACUGGUUCCCACGCGGCCCGCGUAAAGAAUGGACAGGGAUUAUGCGGCCCGCGUCAAUCCUGGUCAACGGACUAGCUUGUCCGGCUCACCCCCUAGACCCGCCACGAUGAUGACACGUGUCAUCACCAGGCUGCGCCACAACUUCGAUCUCUCGCGGCCCGCGUUAACUUAACGAUAUCUUACGCGGCCCGCAUGAACUAAAGAUUCCAGCAGAGUCCGGUUACACCUUAAUGCGGCCCGCGUUAAAGGUUAGGGUGGGUCUAUGCGGCCCGCCUCAACUCAUAUUUUCUUAUUUUUAAUUAUUUUUAAUAAUAUAUUGUAUUUCGGGCUCGGUUUUCACAUACGGGGUGUAUUUUAGGAAGUGUAUGGGUGUCAGGGGUGUUUUAGGAGGGUUGUUCUAUUUUGGGUAUCACUCAUGGGUUAUUUAAUAAAAUAUAUAGUGCACUCACAUUAAGUAUAGCAACCCAAUUCUACUUUAUCCCUACGUCACGAGACAGAACCCCAACGAAUUUAGGCAGAGCCUUGUCAUACGUUACGGGGCCCUACGUCACUUGGACAGGGUAUCAGUGAUCAGGGGCUACAAUACUUAAAAUGGGGCAGGGCUUUGUAGGAUUUAGGGGUGAAUGUAUAUAUA
Molecule: long non-coding RNA, 823 nt
Filed under: Helianthus annuus (common sunflower)
Lineage: Eukaryota; Viridiplantae; Streptophyta; Magnoliopsida; Asterales; Asteraceae
Description: hypothetical non coding rna
Source: RNAcentral